Molecule: small nucleolar RNA, 106 nt
Filed under: Jaapia argillacea MUCL 33604
Lineage: Eukaryota; Fungi; Basidiomycota; Agaricomycetes; Jaapiales; Jaapiaceae
Description: Small nucleolar RNA Z13/snr52
Rfam family: Small nucleolar RNA Z13/snr52
About the family: Z13 or snr52 is a member of the C/D class of snoRNA which contain the C (UGAUGA) and D (CUGA) box motifs. Most of the members of the box C/D family function in directing site-specific 2'-O-methylation of substrate RNAs.
Source: Rfam by way of RNAcentral
UCCGUUUAUGAUGAUAUAUUUCGGAUGUAAAACGAGCUUCGGCUCAACCGUCCGAGAGCGCUCAAACCCAUGUGGAUGUUUCCGUUGCCUUCCUUCUGACCUGCUU